AUCGAACGCUGGCGGCAUGCCUUACACAUGCAAGUCGAACGGCAGCACGGGAGCAAUCCUGGUGGCGAGUGGCGAACGGGUGAGUAAUAUAUCGGAACGUGCCCAGUCGUGGGGAUAACGUAGCGAAAGCUACGCUAAUACCGCAUACGAUCUAUGGAUGAAAGCGGGGGAUCGCAAGACCUCGCGCGAUUGGAGCGGCCGAUAUCAGAUUAGGUAGUUGGUGAGGUAAAGGCUCACCAAGCCGACGAUCUGUAGCUGGUCUGAGAGGACGACCAGCCACACUGGGACUGAGACACGGCCCAGACUCCUACGGGAGGCAGCAGUGAGGAAUAUUGGGACAAUGGGCGCAAGCCUGAUCCAGCCAUGCCGCGUGCAGGAUGACGGCCUCGGUU
RNAcentral lists this ribosomal RNA (392 nucleotides) under uncultured bacterium. RNAcentral describes it as "bacterial SSU rRNA". It matches the Rfam family "Bacterial small subunit ribosomal RNA", at positions 30 to 424 of the family's 1533-position model. The record is from RNAcentral.